This is a non-coding RNA of Streptomyces vietnamensis, 394 nucleotides long. It matches the Rfam family "transfer-messenger RNA". From Rfam's summary of the family: Bacterial tmRNA, also known as 10Sa RNA or SsrA, is named for its dual tRNA and mRNA-like properties. Lineage: Bacteria; Bacillati; Actinomycetota; Actinomycetes; Kitasatosporales; Streptomycetaceae. The record is from Rfam.
GGGGAUGAUCGGUUUCGACAGCGGAUGUCGAAGCAGUGGGAAGCGUGUCGAGGAAGCGGCAAUGAUCUCGUAAACCAUAUGUCGCAACCAAUAAUCGCCAACACCAAGAGCGAUAACUCCCGCUUCGCCCUCGCUGCCUAAUUUUAGGUAACGAACAGAAGCCUCUGUGAGGAGCGUCAGCCCGGGGGUGGUCCCGACCCGGAUCCUGGCGUCAUUAAGGGAUCUAAACCUCUCGCCCCGGUCACGGGGGUGGGAGGGAAAUCAAACAGUGACUGAGCCCGUUCCGGACUUGUCUGGGUGAUCCGGAGGGCUGAGAAACUCGUACCAGACUGCACACGGAGAAGCCCUGAUUCCGCACCGUUGGACGCGGGUUCGAUUCCCGCCAUCUCCACUC